RNAcentral lists this long non-coding RNA (579 nucleotides) under Ananas comosus (pineapple). RNAcentral's name for it is "long non-coding RNA (ACOM_LNC039353)". The record is from RNAcentral. Lineage: Eukaryota; Viridiplantae; Streptophyta; Magnoliopsida; Poales; Bromeliaceae.
CUGCGACCACGGCCACCGCCGCUGCCGAAGACGGCUCCGCCGCAUUCGAGCUCCCGAGCCCUCGGUAGUAACGCAGCACCUCCUCCGGUAUCACCUCCUCCCUCCCCCUCUUCAUUCCACCGCCGCCCCACACCGCCGCCAAAUUCGGCGCCGCGUUCCCACCGUCCUCCCCCGCGACGACCUGCGCCAGCGCCGACACCAUCACCGACAUUUCCCUCGCCUGCCCGAACUCCGAAAGCAUGUACGGCGAUCCCACGUGCGCCUGCUGGUGGUGGUGGUGGUGGUGGUGGUGCUGCUGCUGCUGCUGCUGCUGCUGCUGCGGAACCAAUUCUUCGUCUCCGGCCCCCUGCGCGCCGGCCCUCGGCUGCGGCGGCGCCGCUAGCUUCGCAAGCUCGUGAAAUUCUCGUGGGUCCGCCACUUUGAAACACACAAAUCAAGUGAUCACCCCAAUUGCUCUCUCUUCAAAGCUUCAUUGCCCUUUGAAUUCUCGUUCCUCAACUCCUAUAUAUAGUUAUGGAGACUUUACAAAGCAACCAAAAAAAAAAGUAAAAAAAAGGAAAGGGCUUGUAUUAAGCAAAC